CUGGCCCCUAGAGGCCUUGCGGGUGUGGCUGCUGUGUCAACUGUGUCAGCAGAGGUCCUCGAGGAAGGACGCUACGCCCACGCUCCGUGUUCUGACCUGUGGACAUCUGAAUAAUCAGUAGCCUAACUAG
Small nucleolar RNA from Psammomys obesus (fat sand rat), 130 nucleotides. RefSeq annotates it as small nucleolar RNA SNORA17. The transcript has a single exon. The record is from RefSeq and is a predicted model, not a curated record. NCBI's taxonomy places the organism in Eukaryota, Metazoa, Chordata, Mammalia, Rodentia, Muridae.